This 342-nucleotide unclassified non-coding RNA is filed under the name Basidiomycota sp. RNAcentral describes it as "partial contains small subunit ribosomal RNA, internal transcribed spacer 1, and 5.8S ribosomal RNA". The stretch from base 1 to 47 matches the Rfam family "Eukaryotic small subunit ribosomal RNA", at positions 1785 to 1831 of the family's 1831-position model. Lineage: Eukaryota; Fungi; Basidiomycota. The record is from RNAcentral.
AAAGUCGUAACAAGGUUUCCGUAGGUGAACCUGCGGAAGGAUCAUUAUUGAAUAAAUAUAAUUUGGGAGGUUGUAGCUGACUCUCCGAGUAAUGUGCACACCUUUCAAACUAUUUAUCUCCAACCCACCUGUGCACUCCUUGUAGAUGCUGGAUAACAACUCUCCUUUGGAUUGUUGUGUUCUUUUGAGGGUUUUUGCCGUCAAGGCUGCCUUUGCUUGUCCAGCAUCUAUGUAUUUUAUAACACACCCCAUUUUAUAGUUUUUGAAUGUUUUAUCAAAAGGCAGCAAUGUCUUUUGUUAUAAAUAUUAAUACAACUUUCAACAACGGAUCUCUUGGCUCUC